UACGUAGGGCGCAAGCGUUAUCCGGAAUUAUUGGGCGUAAAGAGCUCGUAGGCGGUUUGUCGCGUCUGCCGUGAAAGUCCGGGGCUCAACUCCGGAUCUGCGGUGGGUACGGGCAGACUAGAGUGCAGUAGGGGAGACUGGAAUUCCCGGUGUAGCGGUGAAAUGCGUAGAGAUCGGGAGGAACACCAGUGGCGAAGGCGGCACCCUGGACCAGCACUGACACUGAGGCACGAAAGCGUGGGGAGCAAACAGG
RNAcentral lists this ribosomal RNA (253 nucleotides) under uncultured bacterium. RNAcentral's name for it is "partial 16S ribosomal RNA". It matches the Rfam family "Bacterial small subunit ribosomal RNA", at positions 524 to 776 of the family's 1533-position model. The record is from RNAcentral.